GUGAACUGGACACCUCUUGGUAGAGGUAGGGUACUAUUUAAUCUCUACUGGGGGGAGGCAGUCUGGGUCAUUUUGGUAUGAGAGAUUGACAAAAUAUAGUGGUUGUUUGUUUUAGUUAGGUGUUUCCUCUUAAGACAUGACUGAAACCGUAAAAGGCUAUGUAGGCUGUGGAUUUGAUUAUCAGAUUAGUGACAUGCUCAAAGAGGGUCUCGUCUAGUAGAUCGGAGAUGUUCCUAAAUAGGUUACUAUC
This is a non-coding RNA of Pelobates cultripes (western spadefoot toad), 250 nucleotides long. NCBI's taxonomy places the organism in Eukaryota, Metazoa, Chordata, Amphibia, Anura, Pelobatidae. The record is from the annotation of a GenBank genome assembly.